Molecule: long non-coding RNA, 578 nt
Filed under: Citrus x clementina
Lineage: Eukaryota; Viridiplantae; Streptophyta; Magnoliopsida; Sapindales; Rutaceae
Description: Citrus clementina (C. clementina) long non-coding RNA (CCLE_LNC004738)
Source: RNAcentral
CCAUAAAGAGGGAAAGGGAAAAAGAUAUCUGAGUGAAAGAAAUACGAUGGUUCAUUGUUGCGUUGAUAGAAGUAACCACUAACUAGAAGUUGAAUUUGUCGUUUCGUAUUUCUUUGCCAACGUACAGAAGUAACUCGUACCACCAGAUGGUACUAAUUUCCGCAUUGAGGAUUGUCUGAAAUUUAUAUUGUUAAAUUUGUACUUAAAUUGCCCAUUCAUAAUUCUUGGUUCAUUUAUAUUUUAGGCCAACUUCUCAGACUCACAAGGUAUUUGCAGAAAUUAGAACUUUUCCCGCCACCUCCUAGGAGGAAGAAAAGAAGAGGGAAGGUGGUGGAGAGUGGCCUUGGGGUGGAUGGGCGAGGGGGCAGUGGAGAUAACCAAUUUCUGGAUGGGACCCACGUUGUUGACCUUUUUAGGAAUUAAAACGGUUGCAUCGUUUUCGUUUGAUGACUUAAUCAUUUCUCCUCUUUAUUUUAUUUUAUUUUAUUUAUUUUUCUAUACUUUAAGCGUCUGCUUGGAAUUGGAUGCUUAUAACAACAAUCGGAGUCCGGACGAGAAAAUUAAUAAUUUAAUUUUGG